GGCCGCCACGCGUGGCUCGGGGCGCGCUGCUCGCCCUUUGUCCCCGGGGAGCCCCGGCGCUGUCCUGCAGCGGGGAGGAGGAAGGCGAGCCGCAGCAGCCCCGGCUGGAUGCCUGGGAGUCGUGUUUCUGCGCCAUUGUGCAGCGCGAAUGCCACACUGAGUGCUUUAUCUGCCCGCACAGCCCCUCUGAAGUCAGGCCGUGUUCCCCCCCAGGCUCAGAUCUGAGGAGCAAAACCUGCUCCCGGCUCCUCUGGCUGCCCUUUCUCAAGGGCAGAUGGCGUUUCUAGGUGCUCAAUAUCCCAGAUUCCCAAAGCAUUCUCAGUUCUGACCUAGUUUCCUCCUCGUAAAGCAGCUACAGAGAGGAUCUGGGGUCAGCAAGUAAUACAACGUUGUGUUCAAGCAACCCGAAUCGAGGUUUAAGGAGUGGAAACUUAGCCUGACAUCCAGGACAGUAGAGAACACCGGCAGCUUAUACAAGAAUAUACAUCUGUAAAAUAACAGCAUUUACAAAAUACUGGUCAUGUAACAUAACUACCAUGACACAAUUUUUAAAAAUUCAGCAAGUUGGAGAGGACAGCAACAACACUAUAUGGCCUGUUUUAAACAUGUAUUGUUUCCUCAUCUAACCUGCGUUUGUCGUUCCUUAAGCUGAACUCCAAAAAAAGGCUUGUAAUUAAUAACUGUUUGAAAAACUGUAGUUGUGCAUAGCUCCGUUUAUUCUUCCCCAAGGAAAACAGUCUCCAAUGCCUGUCUCCUUUGGCAGAGGUCAUGAAUCUUGCCUUUGUUUUACGAUGGCCAAGAGUACAGUUUACAUAAAAGACAAUUUGGGAUAGAGGGGGACAUAACUCUGGACAACUUCUUCUUAUCUUUAAACAGGAGUUAAAUAAAAAGCCUCAAUAGCAA
This is a non-coding RNA of Anas platyrhynchos (mallard), 903 nucleotides long. The record is from RefSeq and is a predicted model, not a curated record. Lineage: Eukaryota; Metazoa; Chordata; Aves; Anseriformes; Anatidae.